GACGAACGCUGGCGGCGUGCUUAACACAUGCAAGUCGAACGGAAAGGCCCUGCUUUUGUGGGGUGCUCGAGUGGCGAACGGGUGAGUAACACGUGAGUAACCUGCCCUUGACUUUGGGAUAACUUCAGGAAACUGGGGCUAAUACCGGAUAGGAGCUCCUGUUGCAUGGUGGGGGUUGGAAAGUUUCGGCGGUUGGGGAUGGACUCGCGGCUUAUCAGCUUGUUGGUGGGGUAGUGGCUUACCAAGGCUUUGACGGGUAGCCGGCCUGAGAGGGUGACCGGCCACAUUGGGACUGAGAUACGGCCCAGACUCCUACGGGAGGCAGCAGUGGGGAAUAUUGCACAAUGGGCGGAAGCCUGAUGCAGCAACGCCGCGUGCGGGAUGACGGCCUUCGGGUUGUAAACCGCUUUCGCCUGUGACGAAGCGUGAGUGACGGUAAUGGGUAAAGAAGCACCGGCUAACUACGU
This 467-nucleotide ribosomal RNA is filed under the name uncultured bacterium. Its description in RNAcentral is "partial 16S ribosomal RNA". It matches the Rfam family "Bacterial small subunit ribosomal RNA", at positions 28 to 506 of the family's 1533-position model. The record is from RNAcentral.